Molecule: ribosomal RNA, 473 nt
Filed under: uncultured bacterium
Lineage: Bacteria
Description: bacterial SSU rRNA
Rfam family: Bacterial small subunit ribosomal RNA
Source: RNAcentral
UGGGGAAUUUUGGACAAUGGGCGCAAGCCCGAUCCAGCCAUGCCGCGUGCAGGAUGAAGGCCUUCGGGUUGUAAACUGCUUUUGUACGGAACGAAAAGACUCUGGUUAAUACCUGGGGUCCAUGACGGUACCGUAAGAAUAAGCACCGGCUAACUACGUGCCAGCAGCCGCGGUAAUACGUAGGGUGCGAGCGUUAAUCGGAAUUACUGGGCGUAAAGCGUGCGCAGGCGGUUAUAUAAGACAGAUGUGAAAUCCCCGGGCUCAACCUGGGAACUGCAUUUGUGACUGUAUAGCUAGAGUACGGCUAGAGGGGGAUGGAAUUCCGCGUGUAGCAGUGAAAUGCGUAGAUAUGCGGAGGAACACCGAUGGCGAAGGCAAUCCCCUGGGCCUGUACUGACGCUCAUGCACGAAAGCGUGGGGAGCAAACAGGAUUAGAUACCCCGGUAGUCCCUGAGCGGGCUGGCAAGGCGCAU